RNAcentral lists this microRNA precursor (93 nucleotides) under Mayetiola destructor (Hessian fly). Lineage: Eukaryota; Metazoa; Arthropoda; Insecta; Diptera; Cecidomyiidae. The record is from RNAcentral.
UUUGGUUUUUGCAAUGGAUGAGUGUUAGUUUGGUGCAUAUUCAAUUAAGAUGAAAAUUAUGACUAGAUUUACACUCAUCCAUGGCAUAUACCG